GUAGGUGGCAAGCGUUGUCCGGAAUUAUUGGGCGUAAAGCGCGCGCAGGCGGUUCUUUAGGUCUGAUGUGAAAGCCCACGGCUCAACCGUGGAGGGUCAUUGGAAACUGGAGAACUUGAGUACAGAAGAGGAAAGCGGAAUUCCACGUGUAGCGGUGAAAUGCGUAGAGAUGUGGAGGAACGCCAGUGGCGAAGGCGGCUUUCUGGUCUGUAACUGACGCUGAGGCGCGAAAGCGUGGGGAGCAAACAGGAUUAGAUACCCUGGUAGUCCACGCCGUAAACGAUGAGUGCUAAGUGUUAGGGGGUUUCCGCCCCCCUUAGUGCUGCAGCUAACGCAUUAAGCACUCCGCCUGGGAGUACGGCCGCAAGGCUG
Molecule: ribosomal RNA, 372 nt
Filed under: uncultured organism
Description: partial 16S ribosomal RNA
Rfam family: Bacterial small subunit ribosomal RNA
Source: RNAcentral